Long non-coding RNA from Triticum aestivum (bread wheat), 5193 nucleotides. RefSeq lists it as uncharacterized. NCBI's taxonomy places the organism in Eukaryota, Viridiplantae, Streptophyta, Magnoliopsida, Poales, Poaceae. The record is from RefSeq and is a predicted model, not a curated record. The transcript is spliced from 3 exons.
CCGCGCAUCAAAACCCUAGCCGCUAACCCUGCUCGUCCCCUCCUCCCCGCUCCCUCCAUCCUCUCCCAUGUCGCCGCCCCUCUUCUCCCCGCUUGCCUCGGCCGCCUCCUCUCCUCCGCCGGGUCAUCGGCCCCCUCCCUUCUCCUACCUCCUCCUCCCUCCUCUCAGUCCGGUGCCAGCCGCCGCCCAAACCCUAGCCCCCGUUUCCCUCGAUCCCCACAGUAACCGCAUCCACAACCACCCGCUCAGCAAGGCCGAAGACCGGGCAGCGGACGCCUCACAGGGUGGAGGAGAGGCCAACGAUAGGGAAAAGCAGCAUCUUCAUGGAUGAGAUCCUGACGACUGAAGAUGGUGCGCGCGGGAGGAGCUUGGAAGAUGUCAAGGUGAGCUUGGCCGCCACCUCUCCUCUCAUCCCUCCUUUCCUCCCAAUUCUCCAAUCUGGAGUUGGUGGUCGCCGGCGCCGUGGGGUGAUAGAGGCCGUCACCUCUCCUCACCUCCUCUCAUCUUCCAGUGGUGGCGCCGCCGGGGAUGAGGGGAGCAGCAGCCGCAGCAGGCGGUGAUGCUGGUGAAGCGGUGGUCCAUGGUGCCUUCAUCGUUGUCGUCCUCGGCAGAAGAUGUGUGCAGAUCGAACGAAGAAGAGAAGAGGAAGGAUCUUGAGGAAGAGGAAAAAACAAGGCAAUGGGACUGUUGACCGGGUACAAGAGCUUCUUCAGAAAACCCAUGCUGCUUUUCUAAAUCGCAAUUUUGUUCAAGGUAAAACCAGCCAAGCCGGAGACUACUACAACCCUUUUUGCAAUAUAUAGUUGAGAGAAUUCGACCAUGCUAUUAUAGCUGGAGACUGUUACUAUUGUCAAUUAUAAAAAAUAUGUUCUUCUAUGAUUUAGUGAAGUCGGGAGGAAAGUGUUGUGCAAAGGCAGAAGCUUUUGUAGCUGUGGUGUUCUUAAUAAUGGCACUAAAGGCCGAAAAACAUAGAUUUUGACAGGUUUUAUUUGUGUAAAAAAACACAAAAGAAGAGCUUUUGCAUGAUAUUAAAACCCAUGUUGGUUUGGUUCUAGAAAUACAAGCAGUUUUCUGAACCCUGCUACUGUCACUAUGGUUGCUAUUUUCAUUUUUGUUGCAGAGCAGUUCUCUCAUGGUGUUUCUAUUAGCUGCGAGGAACAUUGAGCUAGCUUUUGUCUUGAAUCUCUUAGGUGUUAUGUAGAGGUUGGACUUGCCAGUGAGCUAAAUGGCCCAUUGGAACUGCUUGUUUGACCUUUCAAAAUGGUUUGGUGGUGCAGAUAAGUUUGGCCACAACCCAUCGGAUUUAGAUUUUAGGUGCCGUGUGAAACAAUUUCUUAGGCAGGUUGUUUUUUUUCUUAAGCAAGGUAUAUAGGUAGCAUGGGGAACGAUUUAUCGAGUAGGUUUAUUUGUUUGUUAUUAUAUUUGGGUACUUAUUUCCUGAUGUUUUUUAGGUUCUCUGUAUAACAUGGUAAAGUUGCUGGUACGAUUUUGGAGGCAACACUGAUAUUUUUCUGCCGACUUUGUGGACAGGCUAACAAUGAAAAUUUUAUCUGUAAAAUAUGGUGAUCCCUAUAGUGGUAUUUCUAAAGCUUCGAUGUGCUUGCUUUCCCCCAACAAGCAGUAAUCCCAUCAUGGUUGCAUCAGGUGAUAUAUCAUGUGAGAAAAUCGAACUACUCAUUCAUAAGACAUGAUUUUCGCUCACAUUUAUCAUGCUUCGACACUCACAAAAUAAAUACUUGGGCAAUUGCUCUGUUUUGUAUUGCGAGCCUUAAUUUGUGGGAUGCUAGCCGACCCUCCUCCGCGGAGAUCCUCCCGUGCGCAUCACUCGUGGCUGUCGGAUGGCUUUUGACUUUUGCUAUUGAUCAUUGGAUUGGUUGAAUGCAUGGUAAAUUUUGUUACCUUUUCUCUAUUUUUCUGGUUGGAUGACUUGUGGACCUUUUGUCUGUGUGAUUCGGUUGGUUCAUUGUGGGUGUUUUCAAAUCUUUGUGUAAGUCAACCAGUACGGCACGUGCGCGUGCUGGUGUAUGAGUCAUCUGACUCGCACUAUGGCUGAUGAAGCAAGAAAGAGUGCCACGGGCGGGAACCAGAGGACUUGCGAGAAGGGAGUACAACCAUUUUUGCAAUAUAUAGUUGAGAGAAUUCGAGCCUGCUACUAUAGCUGGAGACUGUUACUAUUGUCAAUUAUAAAAAUUAUGUUCUUCUAUGAUUUAGUGAAGUCGGGAGGAAAGUGGUGUGCAAAGGCAGAAGCUUUUGUAGCUGUGGUGUUCUUAAUAAUGGCACGGAAGGCCAAAAAACAUAGAUUUGGACAGGUUUUAUCUGUGUAAAAAACACAAAAGAAGAGCUUUUGCAUGACAUUAAAAACAAUGUUGGUUUGGUUCUAGAAAAAAAAGCAGUUUUCUGAACCCUGCUACUGUCACUAUGGUUGCAAUUUUCAUUUUUGUUGCAGAGCAGUUCUCUCAUGGUGUUUCUAUUAGCUGCGAGGAACGUUGAGCUAGCUUUUGUCUUGAAUCUCUUAGGUGUUAUGUAGAGGUUGGACUUUCUAGUGAGCUAAAUGGCCCAUUGGAACUGCUUGUUUGACCUUUUAAAAUGGUUUGGUGGUGCAGAUAAGUUUGGCCACAACCCAUCGGAUUUAGAUUUUAGGUGCCGUGUGAAACAAUUUCUUAGGCAGGUUAUUUUUUUUCUUAAGCAAGGCAUAUAGGUAGCAUGGGGAACAAUUUCUCGAGUAAUUUUAUUUGUUUGUUAUUAUAUUUGGGUACUUAUUUCCUGAUGUUUUUUAGGUUCUCUGUAUAACAUGGUAAAGUUGCUGGUAUGAUUUUGGAGGCAACACUGAUAUUUUUCUGCCAACUUUGUGGACAGACUAACAAUGACAAUUUUAUCUGUAAAAUAUGGUGAUCCCUAUAGUGGUAUUUCUGAAGCUUUGUUGUGCUUGCUUUCCCCCCAACAAGCAGUAAUCCAAUCACGGGUGCAUCAGGUACUAUAUCAUGUGAGAAAAUCGAACUGCUCAUUCAUAAGACAGGAUUUCCGCUCACAUUUAUCAUGCUUCAACACUCACAAAAUAAAUACUUGGGCAAUUUCUCUGUUUUAUAUUGCGAGCCUUAAUUUGUGGUGCUAGUAGUAUUUUUUGCGUUUAUUUGAAAACCAACACUAAAUCACCAUUAUGCCUUACAGUGGCUCUUUUUUAUAUUGUAUUCGCUGUUAAUAUGGUAUCUUCUAAACUAUGUUACAGAAUUUUCAGUUGUGUUUAUACUACAUUCUCUUAUAAAUGUACAUUACAUUAUCUUCUAGCAAAUAUACUGAAUCACUAUUAUGCCUUGUAUGCAUGUUUUGGUAAAAAAAUGAGUUGAAGUCUUUAACAAUCCUUUUCAGACCCUCUCUCUGUUACACAUUUGCAUGAAAAAACAGAAGUAAAAGGGAAAACUUACUUUGGGUUCAUAUGGUGUAGACCAACAACAAAACGAUUGUUAAUGAAAGGUUUAAGUGCACGUAUACUCAAAACGAGGUCUUUUAUCUAAUUGGUUGGAUAACUUAUUUUCAUGUCUAUGUGGAUUUCCACAAUAACACUACCUCCAACUUUCUCAUUUCCCCAGCUCUGCAUACAAGUUCCAAACUAGGUAUGCCAAUCUUGUUAUCACUUGUUCAGUCGCAUUCUGGUUUAUGCCUUUUCACCUGCAUGUAGUGAGGCAGUGUGUGGAAUUUAGGUGCUAGUUUGAACAAAUUACAAUGAUGUAGUCCUACAGAUCAGUACAGGUCACCGGCUUUAUAUUGUGGUCAGCAUCUUGUAAGUACUUUGGGAAACAAGUUCUGGGGUAAGUUUAUCUGCUUGCUCAUGCAUUUUAAUACUUCAUUGAUGUCCUGAUAAUUUGUGAAGUUCUGUGUACCAUGUGAUAAGCUGCACAUCAGGUUGCAUGGCAGCUUGUUUGUUGCUUUUAGGAUGUCAUGUACCCAGGUGGAUCAAAUACAGAUACCAAUCAUAUAUUAUUAUUUUUACUCGUGUGUUUUUCUUGUGCCUGCCAAACAUUUCAAAAAUUGAUUAUAUCAUUCAGAUGUAUUCAGGCUGGGUUUUUGUGAUCCAAAAAAAUCAUGUGGCAUGGCUUUCUUUUUACAUACAAAACUAAGUGUGGAGCAGUGUAUAUGUUCAUUGCUUUCUUAUCACAUUGCAUUUGUCGGAGGUGCUAUACUGAUUUGAAGGAAAUGCUUUUAUAUUUCCAAGUUGAUCAACUACACAGUUUCUGAUCCUAAAGCCUUUCUUUAAAAGGGGCUGGUCAAUGCAGCUCCAUGUUGUGCUAUCUUGCUAUUGGGCUCUUUUUUCGUUACUUAAAAUGGUCAGAUAUCUCUGAUGUUAAAUUUGUGGUUGAUUGCUUAUAUCCAAAAUAACUAUGUUAGUACACUGAAGACAAUUUCUAUAUUGUUAGUGAAGUUGGCUAAAUAGUUUUUGCGCCACUAAGAUAUAUAUGUGCACUGCAUUCUAACCCUGUAAAUUGUUAUGCUAUUAGUUUAAUCCGGAAUAUAAUUAUGUUAGUACACUCUACAAUAUAAUUAUGUUAUAUUCUGCUUUUGUCAGUUUGCUGGUCCAUAUUAAUUUCCUCGAGCUUAUUUUCACAUCUCGUCAUAUUUACACCUCUCCGCCGACUGCCACCUAUCAUGGAGGGAGAUGGCUUGGCCAGGCCGUCAACACCCAUCAGGAACUUCCGGUAGGCGCCGUCCUGUUCUUCCUCCCCUUACUCUGAUGCCUUCAUGGCCAAAAUCAUUAGCAGGAGCAAGAAGGUUAAGCACCAAUUAUGGUUAAAGCUUUGUCUCUUUUGGGUACUAUGUGUUUGCUGGUUAGCUUACAAAUUCAAGUAAUACGACUAUUGCAAUGCAUCUUACUACAUGUGUAUUUAUUUGCAUUGAUAUUUUCUCCUCCUUAGGCUCCAAACCGUUUGUGGGUCAUAAAUUAUUGUGCAUUAUUGAUGAUUAAUUUGCAAUUUAAAUGACAACAGGGCUGGGUUUUAUAAGUGCAAUGGUUUGAAAUGUGACCUUCCAGUCAAGAAAUUUCCUCAGUGAGAAGCUUAUGUGAAGAAUGAUGUAAUUAAGUUAGCAAUUUACAGUUCUCUUUGACAAUUGUAACUGAAUUGUCAAUGGCCAGUUCUCUUGAAUAAUGAGUUACUCCCUCAAUUUUACAAUAGAGAUAAUUUGUCAAAAUUUUGUUUUUGU